RNAcentral lists this ribosomal RNA (483 nucleotides) under uncultured Ruegeria sp. RNAcentral's name for it is "bacterial SSU rRNA". It matches the Rfam family "Bacterial small subunit ribosomal RNA", at positions 34 to 574 of the family's 1533-position model. Lineage: Bacteria; Pseudomonadati; Pseudomonadota; Alphaproteobacteria; Rhodobacterales; Roseobacteraceae. The record is from RNAcentral.
GGCUGGCGGCAGGCUAACACAUGCACGUCGAGUCGCGCCUUCGGGUGAGCGGCGGACGGGUUAGUACGGGAACGUGCCCUUCUCUACGGAAUAGCCUCUGGAAACGGAGAGUAAUACCGUAUACGCCCUUUGGGGGAAAGAUUUAUCGGAGAAGGAUCGGCCCGCGUUAGAUUACGGUAGUUGGUGGGGUAACGGCCUACCAAGCCUACGAUCUAUAGCUGGUUUUAGAGGAUGAUCAGCAACACUGGGACUGAGACACGGCCCAGACUCCUACGGGAGGCAGCAGUGGGGAAUCUUAGACAAUGGGGGCAACCCUGAUCUAGCCAUGCCGCGUGACUGAUGAAGGCCUUAGGGUCCUAAACUCUUUCGCCUGUAGAUGAUAAUGACAGCAGCAGGCAAAGAAACCCAGCUAACUCCGUACCCGCAGCCGACGUACUACAGAGAGGUAACGCUGUCGCAAUACUGAGCGUAAAGCGCGCGUAG